UACGGAUUUCGGCCCAAAACCUC
RNAcentral lists this non-coding RNA (23 nucleotides) under Arabidopsis thaliana (thale cress). The record is from RNAcentral. Lineage: Eukaryota; Viridiplantae; Streptophyta; Magnoliopsida; Brassicales; Brassicaceae.